UUAAACCGGCGCACGGGUGAGUAACACGUGAGUGACCUGCCUUUUAGACUGGAACAACUUACCGAAAGGUGAGCUAAUGCCGGAUGAGUUAUAUAAGUGCAUGUUUAUAUAGGAAAAGUUGGGGAGACCUGACGCUGAAAGAUGGACUCGCGUCCCAUUAGCUAGUUGGUAGGGUAAUGGCCUACCAAGGCGACGAUGGGUAGCCGGCCUGAGAGGGUGGCCGGCCACACUGGGACUGAGACACGGCCCAGACUCCUACGGGAGGCAGCAGUGGGGAAUUUUGCGCAAUGCUCGUAAGAGUGACGCAGCGACGCCGCGUGAAUGACGAAGGCCUUCGGGUCGUAAAGUUCUUUCGACAGGGAAGAAAAUGCCUAUAAGUAACUGUGUAUGUAUUGACGGUACCUGUAUAAGCAGCCCCGGCUAACUCCGUGCCAGCAGCCGCGGUAAUACGGAGGGGGCGAGCGUUGUUCGGAGUGACUGGGCGUAAAGAGCACGUAGGCGGUGUUGUAAGUCAUUAGUCAAAGACUAGAGCUCAACUUUAGUAAGGCUAGUGAUACUAUAAUACUAGAGUAUCAGAGAGGAUUGCAGAAUUCCUGGUGUAGCGGUGAAAUGCGUAGAUAUCAGGAGGAAUACCGUUAGCGAA
This 643-nucleotide ribosomal RNA is filed under the name uncultured bacterium. RNAcentral describes it as "bacterial SSU rRNA". It matches the Rfam family "Bacterial small subunit ribosomal RNA", at positions 90 to 719 of the family's 1533-position model. The record is from RNAcentral.